UUUAUAUAUGGGUGCUCAAAAUUAUAAUUAUUUUUUAAAUUUAUUAUUUAAAAAAUUAUAUGAGUUGAAAGGCAUUUGUAUAAUGAAUUCAGAUUUACUGUUGCAUAACAUGAGAGAUUUGAUCAUUUGAACUAUUGGCAGUCUAACUCUGAUAUCAUUCCCUCAUAUUACAUAUUCCAUUUCAUUCUUUUUCCUAUUUUAAUCACUCCUCUAUUACUUGUUUUUUAAUCCAAAACGGUCUAACCCGAUAUCAUUCAACUCCCUGUGUAUUCAAUAAUUGGGGACCUUCUUACUUGCUUCUUUUCUUCACGGAUUAUUGUCUGUAUAUAUAUUUCUUCUAUUAAACAAAGUUGCUAUAUAUCUUGACCAGAUACACUUCACCCGUAACAUUUUCAUUAUUUUAACAUAUAAUCAACCAUAAGACAUAUUUAAUUAUAUACAUAUACAACUUGUAUAAGCUUAUUUAUAACCCCGAAGAACCACAGCAGACAGCACCCACUCACCCACAGUCUCAUCAAUUCAUUUACUAGUAAUACAUUUUCUCUGUUUUCUAGUAUAUAUUUGUAUCACUUGUUUAGUGCUCUGCUCAAGAAUCAAGAUCAAUAUGGAAGGAAGAAAAGUCACCGGUUGGGCUGCCAGAGAUGCAUCUGCAAUUCUCUCUCCUUACUCAUAUCAUCUAAGGUCUNNNNNNNNNNNNNNNNNNNNNNNNNNNNNNNNNNNNNNNNNNNNNNNNNNNNNNNNNNNNNNNNNNNNNNNNNNNNNNNNNNNNNNNNNNNNNNNNNNNNAUAUCACGACCAUUAUUUGUUCAUUCUCUUAAUCACUCAUACAUACUACUAGCUAAUAAAUAUACCAUACUUGGAUUAGAAAUUUCUUUGAUAAGACUAUUGAUUUUUCAUUUUGCGUAACAGAGGAAGUAUGUACACAUGUACUAUUUAUUUGGAGCAUCGAGCAUGGUAUGUGAAAUCUUGUCCGCUAGAAAGAGAUCCAAAUUCGCUUUUGCCAGGUGUAUGCAUGUAUGGCCGGUACUAAAAGGAAUAUACCCAAACUGUCAUAAUAUAAUAUUUGCAUGGUUUACAACACAUUCAAACGAUUCCUUCCCCCCUACCCCCUACCCCUAGCACUACCCCUAUCCCUAAUAACUAGUAAGUAGCCUGUCAUCCUCAUCUCACAUAACAAACUAGUUGCCCUAGUAAAUAAUAGAGCUAGCUACACAGUUCUUUAGUAAAGAACAAAUUUAAUUUCUAAAUGAGUGUUCGUGCGUGCACACAGUAGAAAUGGCCUUUAGUGUAAAGUUUGUGUCCGACCUGAUAAUCAGUAUGAGAAUACUCCACAUUUAGACAUUACUCAAUUGUGCUUUAAUAAUAAAAGAUCAUGCCCAAGUGGAAGACCGGUUGUUGAAAUAAUAGUACGAUUAAAUGGUUUUAAUUCGUUUUUUUUUUACCUAACAUGGAAUUCGAUUUCCGGUCCAACCCGAUUUUCAUAACCGAAGCACAAUUGAAUAUUGGGAGCCUAUUUAAAAUAAAAAUACCCAAGCUACCUAGCCUUCGUAUACAAAUUGCUUCAAAAGAGGAUCUCAUUCACAAGUGAGGAUCCAAACCCUUGUUAAGUUAACAUGUGAAGUAAGAUUUCCAGAGGAAUCAAGAAUUUGGAGACGCCACAAAAUUUGAAAAUAAAAUCGUCUCAAUCUCACCACCACCUCCCCACCAACUAAAAAACCUAGUCAAAUAAACCGUAUAGCAUGAUGGGUCCCAGCCCAAAAAAGCUAUUCACCGUCUCGACUCCUUGGCCAAACCAAACCAAGCCAAGCCCUUAUAAAAUGUCACUUCCUUAGGCCAUGGAGAUGCUGCACCAUUCUUUUUCAGUCCAAUAUUCUUAUUGAAUUCUAAUAGUAGUAAUAAUAAUAAUAAUACAGGAGAUCAGAGUUUGAAGAGGAGCUAGAGACGUACCAACUCAUACACAAGCACCGUGGCUGCUAUGAGACACUUAUCAUGUAUAGUAUUAACAGUUGUAAUGAUAAUGUUCAUAUUCUUUACUCAGCCAAGUAUUGUAGAUUCUAGAGUGCUUCUUCAUUCAACUUCAGCAACAAAGAAUGAGAAGAUUGCCGGCUCCAAAACGGCAGGCGGGCUUCCGGCUACCGGAAUAUCUGCACCUUCGGUUUCAGUAAGCCAUUUUGUUGAAAGAAAUCGAGUAUAUACACUAGCCUCUGGCCCGAGCAGAAAAGGACCUGGGCACAAGUGAAUUCCCAUUCCAAUUUCACCUUUUUUUCCUUCAUUUCAUUUGGUUUGUACUUAAAACAUUGGAGGUGUAUCAUAUUAAGAAUAUAGUGCAGCUAUAGUCUAUAGAUAUGAUUAGCUAAGCUCACUUUCUAUAUUUAAGAAAUUCUUUCAUUCUCUUUUCAGCUUUUGUAUGCGAACGUAUAAGCAGAACUCGACCAAUAUGGUCUAUGUUUCCAAUGAAAUAGUAGAAAUUAUGAACAUAGCUACCUACUAUUUUUAUUUUUUUAUUUUUGAUGACCACAAACAUUGACGACAUAUUAAAUUUUAAAAUUGGUAUGACUCAUAAAAGUUUAGAAUGAUAAAUUUUAAAAUUAAUAGUUUUUGUUAAUGUACUAUACAAUUAUAAUAAUUG
RNAcentral lists this long non-coding RNA (2628 nucleotides) under Panax ginseng (ginseng). RNAcentral's name for it is "long non-coding RNA (PGIN_LNC018791)". The record is from RNAcentral. Lineage: Eukaryota; Viridiplantae; Streptophyta; Magnoliopsida; Apiales; Araliaceae.